RNAcentral lists this ribosomal RNA (496 nucleotides) under Pezizaceae sp. 1 MAS-2016. RNAcentral describes it as "eukaryotic LSU rRNA". The stretch from base 108 to 261 matches the Rfam family "5.8S ribosomal RNA". The record is from RNAcentral. Lineage: Eukaryota; Fungi; Ascomycota; Pezizomycetes; Pezizales; Pezizaceae.
GAGCUUGNGUGAACCACACUCGCCAGAGNGCUGCCAGUAUUAAGACCACUUGCUAAAAUCUGUUGUGAAUUAUAUAGUCUGAAUUUUGUGUCUUGAAAAUGAAAUAAAACUUUCAACAACGGAUCUCUAGGCUCUUGCAUCGAUGAAGAACGCAGUGAAAUGCGAUAAGUAAUGUGAAUUGCAGAAUCUCGUGAAUCAUUGAAUCUUUGAACGCACAUUGCGCCCUAUGGUAUUCCAUAGGGCAUACCUGUUUGAGCGUUAGCUCCCCAUAUUCUCAAGCAUUAUUUUGUAAUGUUUGGAUUUGUUUGGAGAGGCACCUCUGUCAUGGAGGUACCCUUCAAAAAUGUAUAUGGCAGUAUAGUUUAUAUCUGAACAAGGGCGUAAUAAUAAUAAAGUCGCUGAGUUCACCCUAUUUAUACUUGCCUGAACCCACCCAUUGUUAAAUCGGGUAACCUCAAAUCAGGUAGGGAUACCCGCUGAACUUAAGCAUAUCAAU